Molecule: long non-coding RNA, 663 nt
Organism: Ornithorhynchus anatinus (platypus)
Lineage: Eukaryota; Metazoa; Chordata; Mammalia; Monotremata; Ornithorhynchidae
Exons: 2
Source: RefSeq, a predicted model, not a curated record
GGAGAUUUUAGCCUCCUACCUUUUACUGUUGGUCAGAGACCUGUCUAGGGAUAGUUGCUUGUGUUGUGAAUUCCUGCUCUCAAUGUCUACCAGGAUACCGAGCGAAACACUGUUUCAUUUUUUUGACCAGUUGUUGGAUUAUACAGUUUCCCCUGAGGACCUAACAGUGAAAUGGGAUUCACACUAAAGGCUUCCUGGAGAUUUCACUGCAUCAAAACCUCAGAAGAACGUUUGGCCUUCAGUCCUACUGUGGAUUUACAAAAUAUUUCACAGAAAACAGCAGGGGACCGUGCGCCACGGGGAGAGUGAUCCAUUUUGGGUUUUUCGAGCGGUGCGGAAUACCGAAGCAAAGUCGAUGUCGCCUUGGGACGAAGUCCGAAUCAAACCCAGAGCGCGGAAGAAAUUAGGCCAGAGGAUGGGAAAGGCCCCCCUCGAAAGAAAGCUGUGAAAAUCUGUCACGAUUAGGUUCGCCAGAAGAGUAGACAGCCUUAUUAAUACACAACCCAGAGGACCAGGAAAAAACGGGCUUGGAAUUUCCCGGUUUCAAAGAUAUCAUUAUUGGAGAACGACGGAGUAUCCCGUCAGCUGGGAAACAGCCGUCCCCGGGAAUCGUGUGCCGCUCUGAAUAAAGUAAUAUUGUCUCGAUGAGGCUUCGCGCUACAA